Long non-coding RNA from Pyrus x bretschneideri (Chinese white pear), 326 nucleotides. RefSeq lists it as uncharacterized. The transcript is spliced from 2 exons. NCBI's taxonomy places the organism in Eukaryota, Viridiplantae, Streptophyta, Magnoliopsida, Rosales, Rosaceae. The record is from RefSeq and is a predicted model, not a curated record.
GACGUAUCUUGAUCUCCACCCCCUUACUAAUACCUCACCAUACACCGUAGUGGAAACAAUGUCCCUUGCUAAAGCUGCUAUUUUCUUUCGGAAGCUUGGCUGCAGGCACUUGCUGUUAGUGUCUUAAUUAGACAAAAGGAGGCCUCCAACCGUUGGAAUCUUGACACGGCACGAUUUCAUGCCGGAGCACAAAAUGGGACUUUUUCCGCAGUUGAAACCUCACGAGUAAAAGUAGCAAUGCGCGUAUCUGGGAUUAUACAAGGCCUUGUUUGAUCAAGUUUUAACCUUUAAGAGUCAAUCGUAUUUUCAUUUAUGGAUUACUGUGA